This 387-nucleotide ribosomal RNA is filed under the name uncultured bacterium. RNAcentral's name for it is "bacterial SSU rRNA". It matches the Rfam family "Bacterial small subunit ribosomal RNA", at positions 29 to 419 of the family's 1533-position model. The record is from RNAcentral.
AUUGAACGCUGGCGGAAUGCUUUACACAUGCAAGUCGAGCGGCAGCGCGGGGCAACCUGGCGGCGAGCGGCGAACGGGUGAGUAAUGCAUCGGAACGUACCCCGUCGUGGGGGAUAACUACCCGAAAGGGUAGCUAAUACCGCAUACGACCUGAGGGUGAAAGCGGGGGACCGAAAGGCCUCGCGCGAUGGGAGCGGCCGAUGCCGGGUUAGCUAGUUGGUAGGGUAAAGGCCUACCAAGGCGACGAUCCGUAGCUGGUCUGAGAGGACGACCAGCCACACUGGAACUGAGACACGGUCCAGACUCCUACGGGAGGCAGCAGUGGGGAAUUUUGGACAAUGGGCGAAAGCCUGAUCCAGCCAUUCCGCGUGAGUGAAGAAGGCCUGG